GACGAACGCUGGCGGCGUGCCUAAUGCAUGCAAGUCGCACGCACCACCUUCGGGUGGUGAGUGGCGCACGGCUGAGGAUCACGUGGGAACAUGCCUCCUUGUGGGGGACAACACCGCGAAAGCGGUGCUAAUCCCGCAUACGCUCGUGGAAGCGAGGAAAGCGGCAACGCGCAGGGAGAGUGGCCCGCGGCCCAUCAGGUCGUCGGUGGGGUAACGGCCUACCGAGCCAAUGACGGGUAGCUGGUCUGUGAGGACAGACAGCCAGACUGGGACUGAGACACGGCCCAGACUCCUACGGGAGGCAGCAGCAAGGAAUUUUCGUCAAUGGGCGCAAGCCUGAACGAGCAACGCCGCGUGGAGGAUGACGGCCU
This 371-nucleotide ribosomal RNA is filed under the name uncultured bacterium. Its description in RNAcentral is "bacterial SSU rRNA". It matches the Rfam family "Bacterial small subunit ribosomal RNA", at positions 28 to 417 of the family's 1533-position model. The record is from RNAcentral.